Molecule: transfer RNA, 85 nt
Filed under: Gammaproteobacteria bacterium
Lineage: Bacteria; Pseudomonadati; Pseudomonadota; Gammaproteobacteria
Description: tRNA-Leu
Rfam family: tRNA
About the family: Transfer RNA (tRNA) molecules are approximately 80 nucleotides in length. Their secondary structure includes four short double-helical elements and three loops (D, anti-codon, and T loops). Further hydrogen bonds mediate the characteristic L-shaped molecular structure. tRNAs have two regions of fundamental functional importance: the anti-codon, which is responsible for specific mRNA codon recognition, and the 3' end, to which the tRNAs corresponding amino acid is attached (by aminoacyl-tRNA synthetases). tRNAs cope with the degeneracy of the genetic code in two manners: having more than one tRNA (with a specific anti-codon) for a particular amino acid; and 'wobble' base-pairing, i.e. permitting non-standard base-pairing at the 3rd anti-codon position.
Source: RNAcentral
GGCCGAGUGGUGGAAUUGGUAGACACGCAGCACUCAAAAUGCUGUGUCGCAAGACGUGUCGGUUCGAGUCCGACCUCGGCUACCA